Vitis vinifera (wine grape) is the source of this 109-nucleotide non-coding RNA. The record is from RefSeq and is marked provisional. NCBI's taxonomy places the organism in Eukaryota, Viridiplantae, Streptophyta, Magnoliopsida, Vitales, Vitaceae.
AGGGUGGAGUUUUGUGAAGCUUAUGGCAUAUGUGUGACGGAAAGAAAGGUGUUUAAAUCAUGUCUUUCCGACUCGCACUCAUGCCGUUGGUUUCAGAUCACUCCUCCCU